RNAcentral lists this transfer RNA (73 nucleotides) under Vicugna pacos (alpaca). RNAcentral describes it as "tRNA-Ala (AGC) (tRNA-Ala-AGC-325-1)". It matches the Rfam family "tRNA". Rfam says of the family: Transfer RNA (tRNA) molecules are approximately 80 nucleotides in length. Their secondary structure includes four short double-helical elements and three loops (D, anti-codon, and T loops). The record is from RNAcentral. Lineage: Eukaryota; Metazoa; Chordata; Mammalia; Artiodactyla; Camelidae.
GGUGGGUAUAGCUCAGUGGUAGAGUGCAUGCUUAGCAUGCAUGAGGUCCUGGGUUCAAUCCUCAGUACCUCCA